CCGGCCCUCCGCGAGCACCCGCGGGGGAUCGGGUUCCGGACCCGGUCCGAUCCCGUUCCCACCGAGGGGCUGUCCGCGAUCAUGGAGGUGUCCUCGGACGGCGUCGAAUCCUUCUCCAGUCCGCGACGCUACGGCUUGGAUGGUCCACCCGACCCGUCUUGAAACACGGACCAAGGAGUCUAACAUGCGCGCGAGUCGUUGGGUCGGACACGCUCCGCUAAACCCAUAGGCGCAAUGAAAGUGAAGGCCGCCGUCGGGCGGCCGAGGGAGGACGGGGCCGCUCGCGCGUUCCGGCGCGCGUCGGUCCCCGCACCCCCGGGGCGUCUGAUCCCUCAUCGCGAGGGGAGGCGCACCCAGAGCGCACACGUUGGGACCCGAAAGAUGGUGAACUAUGCCUGGCCAGGACGAAGUCAGGGGAAACCCUGAUGGAGGUCCGUAGCGAUUCUGACGUGCAAAUCGAUCGUCGGAGCUGGGUAUAGGGGCGAAAGACUAAUCGAACCAUCUAGUAGCUGGUUCCCUCCGAAGUUUCCCUCAGGAUAGCUUGCGCUCGGAGGAGAGUCUCAUCCGGUAAAGCGAAUGAUUAGAGGCCUUGGGGCCGAAACGGCUUCAACCUAUUCUCAAACUUUAAAUGGGUGAGAACUCCGGCUUGCUCGACUUGUCGAAGCCGGAGACGGGGCUCCGGCCCCCGGGAUCGGAGUGCAUAGUGGGCCACUUUUGGUAAGCAGAACUGGCGCUGUGGGAUGAACCAAACGACGGGUUAAGGCGCCCGAAUCGACGCUCAUGGGAAACCAUGAAAGGUGUUGGUUGCUUAAGACAGCAGGACGGUGGCCAUGGAAGUCGGAAUCCGCUAAGGAGUGUGUAAUAACUCACCUGCCGAAGCAACUAGCCCUGAAAAUGGAUGGCGCUGAAGCGUCGUGCCUAUACCCGGCCGUCGCGGCAGGGCGGACCCGCGAGGGUGCCGUUCGAUGCGGCGACGAGUAGGAGGGUCGCGGCGGCGCGCGCAGAAGGGUCGGGGCUCGAGCCUGCCUGGAGCCGCCGCCGGUGCAGAUCUUGGUGGUAGUAGCAAAUACUCCAGCGAGGCCCUGGAGGACUGAUGUGGAGAAGGGUUUCGUGUGAACAGCCGUUGCACACGAGUCAGUCGAUCCUAAGCCCUAGGAGAAAUCCGACGCCAACGGCGACGGGAAAAACGAACGAAUGAAAGAAACCCGUUGAUCGGGCGAAAGGGAAUCCGGUUCCUAUUCCGGAACCCGGCAGCGGAACCGCUGUUUGUCGGGCCCUCACAAGGGGUUCGUCAGGGUAACCUAAAAGGGCCCGGAGACGCCGUCGGGAGCCCCGGAAAGAGUUUUCUUUUCUGCAUGAGCGUUCGAGUUCCCUGGAAUCCU
RNAcentral lists this ribosomal RNA (1382 nucleotides) under Mecistogaster modesta. RNAcentral describes it as "partial 28S ribosomal RNA". It matches the Rfam family "Eukaryotic large subunit ribosomal RNA", at positions 605 to 1729 of the family's 3401-position model. The record is from RNAcentral. Lineage: Eukaryota; Metazoa; Arthropoda; Insecta; Odonata; Coenagrionidae.